UUAAGUUCAGCGGGUAUCCCUACCUGAUCCGAGGUCAAACUGUGGGUAACUUGAUGGACGCCGGUCCGCCGGGACCCGCAGGCGCAAUGGUGCUACGCUACGGGCUGGCAAACCGCUGCCAAUGCCUUUGGGGCGAGUCCGCGCACGAGGCGGGACAGACGCCCAACACCAAGCAGAGCUUGAGGGUGUAAAUGACGCUC
RNAcentral lists this unclassified non-coding RNA (200 nucleotides) under Keissleriella sp. Its description in RNAcentral is "partial internal transcribed spacer 2". Lineage: Eukaryota; Fungi; Ascomycota; Dothideomycetes; Pleosporales; Lentitheciaceae. The record is from RNAcentral.